CGAGGAAAAAAAAAGGUUAGAGCGAAAGGAGCGGCGACGACGUACUCAUGAAUAGGCGCAGAAACACGGAAGAGUAACUCUGUUGAUGACACUCGACUCAUGUCAACGACGCGGCUGAAGAGAGGAAGAGGACAAUGGACGAGAUCAUUUGCGGAAGGAUUGAAGUAGAAGACUGUUUCGUGUCGUGAAAGGAAUUGUGAUUGCGAUGAAACGGAACGCCGUUAAACGAGAGCCAGAGGUCAAAACGUGAGGUUAAACGUGCGGCGGGAAACCUGAUAAGAGUCGCUGCGGAGGAGGAUAACCUGGUAAGGAAGAAAGGAGAGAAAGGGCGAAGUAAACCGUACCGAGAGAGGAGAUCGGGAACAUCGUGGUGAAUAUCGAGUGUCGAUCGUACUGGGAAUGUACGGCUAGGAGUAUCAAAUCGUUAUAUCGAUGCCGCGACGAGAGCCAUCACGAGAAGAGUACUCCGUGAGAAAACGUUAUUGGGUCAACGUCGUAUACCAAGAGGUCGGAGACACGUUUACAACGAGUCGCGAAACGUUAUCGGAAUAAAUCGGAAGGGAAAACAAAGAGAAGAUGUUAGACUAAUCUGGAAAGGAAGGAAGAUCCCUCUUGUCUUUCAUGGAAACGGAACAAGGAGCAAGCGUUCUCAUCCUUGUGAAAUUGUCUCGGAUAUAUAUUCAAGAGUUUAUGAGAAAUCAUAGAAGAAGAAAUAUAUAUUUAUCAUUCGUCGCGUUAAAAUAAGACGCGAAAAUAUUACAAUGAGGGAUGUUAAACCGGCGAUUCAGCGGCGCGUGCCAGACACAAGCCGAGGGAGAGAAUAAUAAAACGUAAAUCGCCCAGGGUAUUCCCGUUAUUCUAAACAAAACGUGUUAAGCGCAUUAAAGGCGAAGGUAAUAUUGCGGUAAACAGAGAGAACGCCUCGACGAACCGCGCUAUAAAUUAUUAAGAGAGGCGAGAUAUCACGAGCGGAGAGAAAGCCAGAGAAAUAUCGAGGAUAUCGUAUUGAUAAGAUGCAUCAUGAAUCGGUGGAGAGAGAGAGAGAGGCCGCUCGGGCGGAAAUUUGCUUUACUAAUCUAGGAGGCGGGAUAUCAUCCAUCGCGAACGUCUACCGAUGUUUAGAUCACGGUUUAGAUUCCGACGCGGUCGUUUGAAUCCGCAUUACGCCUGAUUUACAUACGCAAAACUCGCUCGUUCAGCUUGAAAAUUGGAGCGAUCGGCCGGAAGUGUAUCGUCGUAAAUACGAACAGCUGAACCGGAUAAGAAACGCGAGAGCGGCCAUCGCGGGCGAAAAAAGCCCGACGUGCAAUUGCAAUGAAGCGCAGCGCGCCAAGAGAGACAGGAUUGGAUUCGUUUCGUUUUGUUAUAGGAGGAAAUAAUGAGAAUAUACUUAAGGAACACGAGUGUGACCUGUUGCAAGUUCAACCGGUAUCAGUCUUGUGAAACGACAGAGACGCAACAAUUGUCAUGAUCACUAAUAUAUACACUAUCGAGCGAACUAUUUCA
This is a long non-coding RNA of Formica exsecta, 1506 nucleotides long. RefSeq lists it as uncharacterized. Lineage: Eukaryota; Metazoa; Arthropoda; Insecta; Hymenoptera; Formicidae. The transcript has 3 exons. The record is from RefSeq and is a predicted model, not a curated record.